RNAcentral lists this ribosomal RNA (253 nucleotides) under uncultured bacterium. RNAcentral's name for it is "partial 16S ribosomal RNA". It matches the Rfam family "Bacterial small subunit ribosomal RNA", at positions 524 to 776 of the family's 1533-position model. The record is from RNAcentral.
GACGUAGGGCGCGAGCGUUGUCCGGAUUUAUUGGGCGUAAAGAGCUCGUAGGCGGCUUGUUGCGUCGACCGUGAAAACCCGGGGCUCAACUUCGGGCUUGCGGUCGAUACGGGCGGGCUAGAGUUCGGUAGGGGAGACUGGAAUUCCUGGUGUAGCGGUGAAAUGCGCAGAUAUCAGGAGGAACACCGAUGGCGAAGGCAGCUCGCUGGGACGGUACUGACGCUGAGGCGCGAAAGCGUGGGGAGCGAACAGG